GAUGAACGCUGGCGGCGUGCUUAACACAUGCAAGUCGAACGAAGCACUUUAUUUGGUUUCCUUCGGGACUGAUUAUUUUGUGACUGAGUGGCGGACGGGUGAGUAACGCGUGGGUAACCUGCCUUGUACAGGGGGAUAACAGUUGGAAACGGCUGCUAAUACCGCAUAAGCGCACGGCAUCGCAUGAUGCAGUGUGAAAAACUCCGGUGGUAUAAGAUGGACCCGCGUUGGAUUAGCUAGUUGGUGAGGUAACGGCCCACCAAGGCGACGAUCCAUAGCCGACCUGAGAGGGUGACCGGCCACAUUGGGACUGAGACACGGCCCAAACUCCUACGGGAGGCAGCAGUGGGGAAUAUUGCACAAUGGGCGAAAGCCUGAUGCAGCGACGCCGCGUGAGCGAAGAAGUAUUUCGGUAUGUAAAGCUCUAUCAGCAGGGAAGAUAAUGACGGUACCUGACGAAGAAGCACCGGCUAAAUACGUG
Molecule: ribosomal RNA, 481 nt
Filed under: uncultured bacterium
Lineage: Bacteria
Description: partial 16S ribosomal RNA
Rfam family: Bacterial small subunit ribosomal RNA
Source: RNAcentral